GGACGAACGCUGGCGGCGUGCCUAAUACAUGCAAGUUGAGCGAUGAAGAUUGGUGCUUGCACCAAUUUGAAGAGCAGCGAACGGGUGAGUAACGCGUGGGGAAUCUGCCUUUGAGCGGGGGACAACAUUUGGAAACGAAUGCUAAUACCGCAUAACAACUUUAAACAUAAGUUUUAAGUUUGAAAGAUGCAAUUGCAUCACUCAAAGAUGAUCCCGCGUUGUAUUAGCUAGUUGGUGAGGUAAAGGCUCACCAAGGCGAUGAUACAUAGCCGACCUGAGAGGGUGAUCGGCCACAUUGGGACUGAGACACGGCCCAAACUCCUACGGGAGGCAGCAGUAGGGAAUCUUCGGCAAUGGACGAAAGUCUGGCCGAGCAACGCCGCGUGAGUGAAGAAGGUUUUCGGAUCGUAAAACUCGGUUGGUAGAGAAGAACGUUGGUGAGAGUGGAAAGCUCAUCAAGUGACGGUAACUACCCAGAAAGGGACGGCUAACUACGUG
This 498-nucleotide ribosomal RNA is filed under the name uncultured bacterium. RNAcentral's name for it is "partial 16S ribosomal RNA". It matches the Rfam family "Bacterial small subunit ribosomal RNA", at positions 27 to 507 of the family's 1533-position model. The record is from RNAcentral.